RNAcentral lists this signal recognition particle RNA (148 nucleotides) under Pan paniscus (pygmy chimpanzee). RNAcentral's name for it is "Metazoan signal recognition particle RNA". It matches the Rfam family "Metazoan signal recognition particle RNA". Rfam says of the family: The signal recognition particle (SRP) is a universally conserved ribonucleoprotein. The record is from Rfam by way of RNAcentral. RNAcentral also lists the same sequence under 1 other name. Lineage: Eukaryota; Metazoa; Chordata; Mammalia; Primates; Hominidae.
GCUGGGCGUGGUGAUGCUUGCCUGUAGUCCCAGCUACUCAGGAGGCUGAGGCAGGAGGAUCGCUUGAGCCCAGGAGAUUGAGGCUGCAGUGAGCCAUCAUCGCUCCACUGCACUGCAACCUGGGCAACAGAGCAAGAUUCUGUCUCAA